CCUUUCUCCUUCCUCCCGCUGGCGGCGUGCCUAAUACAUGCAAGUCGAACGAACCGCGACUAGGUGCUUGCACUUGGUCAAGGUGAGUGGCGAACGGGUGAGUAACACGUGGGUAACCUACCUCAUAGUGGGGGAUAACAGUCGGAAACGACUGCUAAUACCGCAUAGGACAUGGGAUCACAUGAUUCUGUGAGGAAAGGUGGCGCAAGCUAUCGCUAAGAGAUGGACCCGCGGUGCAUUAGCUAGUUGGUAGGGUAACGGCCUACCAAGGCGAUGAUGCAUAGCCGACCUGAGAGGGUGAUCGGCCACAUUGGGACUGAGACACGGCCCAAACUCCUACGG
RNAcentral lists this ribosomal RNA (342 nucleotides) under uncultured bacterium. RNAcentral's name for it is "bacterial SSU rRNA". It matches the Rfam family "Bacterial small subunit ribosomal RNA", at positions 34 to 344 of the family's 1533-position model. The record is from RNAcentral.